CAUUUAAGGAAUGACUGUAAUAUUUUUUCUGUCUAUGAAGAAAUAACAUAAAAAAUAUUACAGUCAUUUCUUAUAAUUUAAUUCUAAAUUCCAUUUUAAACCGUAGAAAACCAUGAAAAAACGUUGAUGACGUCACGGUCACAUGACUAAAUUAUGUCUAUGGGCUCAUAACAAAAUAACAUCAGCCAAUCAGAAGACGUGUUACAUCCAAAAUUAAAUUAUAUAUUGAU
RNAcentral lists this long non-coding RNA (230 nucleotides) under Mytilus galloprovincialis (Mediterranean mussel). Lineage: Eukaryota; Metazoa; Mollusca; Bivalvia; Mytilida; Mytilidae. The record is from RNAcentral.